UACGAAGGGGGCUAGCGUUGUUCGGAAUUACUGGGCGUAAAGGGCGCGUAGGCGGCCCGCUAAGUCGAACGUGAAAUCCCCGGGCUCAACCCGGGAACUGCGUCCGAUACUGGUGGGCUUGAAUCCGGGAGAGGGAUGCGGAAUUCCAGGUGUAGCGGUGAAAUGCGUAGAUAUCUGGAGGAACACCGGUGGCGAAGGCGGCAUCCUGGACCAAUACUGACACUGAGGAGCGAAAGCCAGGGGAGCAAACGGG
This 253-nucleotide ribosomal RNA is filed under the name uncultured bacterium. RNAcentral describes it as "partial 16S ribosomal RNA". It matches the Rfam family "Bacterial small subunit ribosomal RNA", at positions 524 to 776 of the family's 1533-position model. The record is from RNAcentral.